AGUUAAAAAGAUUCAGCCUUUGAUCUCAAAUUUCUCCCUAAGUUUUUUCAACAUCCUCAACCAUUUUAUGCAAAUAAUCAAAUUUUAGUAAAUGGUAAUUGAAACUCCAUAUUAAUUUUGUAAAGUUAAAAACAAGUUGAGAAGUUACCAAGAAAAAAAAAAGGUUUUCUUUUUUAAUUACAAUAGUUUGUAGAGUUUAAGAUUUACAUCAUAACAAUUUAAAAUGUAGGUCCGAUUUGAAAUUACAUCUAAAGGUUAGGGGCAUAAGCCAGUAAUUGCAAAGAAAUAUUUAACAUGUGUAGUCCCUAGUAAGAAACUAAGAAUGUCCUCAAAAGUCAGAACCAAUGAAACACAUGUGGCUGAUUCAUAUAAGACAUAAUGGCAGUCAUCAUUGGAGAAAGAAAAAUACCGUAACUGGAGACCAAAUAAAGCAUCCAUAAUGAAGACAUUUGCUGUUGGUUCUUAAUUUAACACACAAAUCCAAUUCAGU
This 490-nucleotide unclassified non-coding RNA is filed under the name Hevea brasiliensis (rubber tree). The record is from RNAcentral. Lineage: Eukaryota; Viridiplantae; Streptophyta; Magnoliopsida; Malpighiales; Euphorbiaceae.